RNAcentral lists this RNase P RNA (404 nucleotides) under Nocardioides mesophilus. Its description in RNAcentral is "Nocardioides sp. MSL 22 Bacterial RNase P class A". It matches the Rfam family "Bacterial RNase P class A". From Rfam's summary of the family: Ribonuclease P (RNase P) is a ubiquitous endoribonuclease, found in archaea, bacteria and eukarya as well as chloroplasts and mitochondria. Lineage: Bacteria; Bacillati; Actinomycetota; Actinomycetes; Propionibacteriales; Nocardioidaceae. The record is from Rfam by way of RNAcentral.
UGAGCUGGCCGGGCGACCGCGUGGAGGAGACUCCUCGAGGAAGGUCCGGGCUCCACAGGGCAAGGUGGUGGGUAACACCCACCCGGGGUGACCCGCGGGAAAGUGCCACAGAGAACAGACCGCCGUGACUGCCUCGGCAGGAGCGGUAAGGGUGAAACGGUGGUGUAAGAGACCACCAGCGCACCGGGUGACCGGAGCGGCUCGGUAAACCCCACCAGGAGCAAGGUCAAGAAGGACGAGGGUCUGCGGACCGUCGUCCGCGCGGACGUUCGAGGGCGGCCCGCCCGAGUCCGCGGGUAGACCGCACGAGGCUGUCGGCAACGGCAGCCCUAGAUGGAUGGUCGCCGACCGUGGCGCCGCGAGGCGCGCGGAGACAGAACCCGGCCUACAGGCCAGCUCAUCCC